CUCCUACGGGAGGCAGCAGUGGGGAAUUUUGGACAAUGGGGGAAACCCUGAUCCAGCAAUCCCGCGUGUGUGAAGAAGGCCUUCGGGUUGUAAAGCACUUUUGUCCGGAAAGAAAACUUGUGCAUUAAUACUGCGGGAGGAUGACGGUACCGGAAGAAUAAGUACCGGCUAACUACGUGCCAGCAGCCGCGGUAAUACGUAGGGUGCGCGCGUUAAUCGGAAUUUCCGGGCGUAAAGCGUGCGCAGGCGGUUCGUUAAGACAGAUGUGAAAUCCCCGGGCUUAACCUGGGAACUGCAUUUGUGACUGGCGAGCUAGAGUAUGGCAGAGGGGGGUAGAAUUCCACGCGUAGCAGUGAAAUGCGUAGAGAUGUGGCGGAAUACCGAUGGCGAAGGCAGCCCCCUGGGCCAAUACUGACGCUCAUGCACGAAAGCGUGGGGAGCAAACACGGAUUAGAUACCCUGGUAGUCCACGCCCUAAACGAUGUCAACUAGCUGCUUGGGGAUUCAUUUCCUUAGUAACGUAGCUAACGCGUGAAGUUGACCGCCUGGGGAGUACGGUCGCAAGAUUAAAACUCAAAGGAAUUGACGG
RNAcentral lists this ribosomal RNA (589 nucleotides) under uncultured soil bacterium. RNAcentral describes it as "bacterial SSU rRNA". It matches the Rfam family "Bacterial small subunit ribosomal RNA", at positions 336 to 916 of the family's 1533-position model. The record is from RNAcentral.